Molecule: ribosomal RNA, 133 nt
Filed under: Raperostelium minutum
Lineage: Eukaryota; Evosea; Eumycetozoa; Dictyosteliales; Raperosteliaceae
Description: partial 18S ribosomal RNA
Rfam family: Eukaryotic small subunit ribosomal RNA
Source: RNAcentral
AAUGAUACGGUAAAGCCAACGGAUGAGAUCAUGUAGCAAUACAAUGGUCUUAAAAGUUGUUUAAAUCUCAUUGUUUAGAGGAAGGAGAAGUCGUAACAAGGUAUCCGUAGUGAACCUGCGGAUGGAUCAUUUU